Long non-coding RNA from Polyodon spathula (Mississippi paddlefish), 5702 nucleotides. RefSeq lists it as uncharacterized. The transcript has 3 exons. NCBI's taxonomy places the organism in Eukaryota, Metazoa, Chordata, Actinopteri, Acipenseriformes, Polyodontidae. The record is from RefSeq and is a predicted model, not a curated record.
UGUACGCGAAACCCCAGUUUUGGCCACCGAGUUGUCGUUAAUUUAAAACGAGGAGUACUCUACGGUGUAAAGGGAAGGAAGAAAGCAAGUCAAAAUCGGGUUACCAAUGUAAAAUGAACCUGUACGGUUUUAUUUCCAUAGAAUUACAUGACUUGAAUUUGUACAUGGAUCCCAAAUCCAAGACGUUUCCUAUCGCUACGUACUCAAAUGUCAGAAUUGCACCGACUCCUGCAGCCCUCACUUACGGUUUUGCUUUGUUGGCUGUGCCGCUCCAAUGCAACAGCAGCUACAGCGCAGGCGCCAGUAUGCGGCAAACGACGAACCGCAGUUGUUUUUGCGCCUGCGCAGCCCGCCCCCCUUUUUGCUGAUUGAGACAGGGCUCGGCGCUCGCCUCUUCGGCAGAAACUUCUGGAAAAAUCAGCUCUGAGGGCGGCAAACUUUCAGUCGCUGAGGAAACAAAAUAUACAAAAACAGGAGAAUUGCUUGGAGUUACCCGUUCUACUCACGAUUAAGCUUACAUUUGAAACCUACAAAUCCUGCUGGUUAAAAUUAAGCUUGAAGGGAGUAAUAAAUAUUAACUUUUUUUUGUGGAAUUAUGGUGGAAAGAACCAUGUCUGCCUGGCUUAAACGGAGCUCCAGACUGGCAUAUAUCUGUAUACUUACAUGAGAAUAAAAUCCACUUGUUUACACGAAUGUGGGCUUGGUCUAAUUUGGAUUUUAUUGAAUUUACAACAUCAUCUUUUAUUCCCUUUUCCUUUGUUUUCUGGAAUUCAUCUGGAAGGAAUUAAAUGAAAACAAUGGAUCUAUUGUCUGUAACCCAGUUGUGCACAACUAUUGAGUUUCUAUACCUAUAAAACACUUGAAACCCAGUAAAAUACCGGGAAAUUAUAAAAAAGGAUUUAUGUUCAAACACAUUGUAUGUACUAGUGUUGUGGGCAGUUUACAGGCUUUUUUUUAAGGUACAAUAAAUUGGUUCUAAGUGACCACAGUCUGUAAAGUGAAGGUAUGACGAAGAUAAGGUAAUCAUUUAAAUGCUGUUACGUGUUGAAAUAGAAAGUAUAUUAUGUCCGUGUGUAGCAAAAGCGGUAGAACAAUUCAAGUUAAUAUCAGAUGUUUGUCUCCGUUCCCUUUUAUCGGCGCCAUUUUGUAGGUGCUGGUGUAAUUAUGAGAAGAUUCGAGUCCGCCAUUUUGUGUUUGAUGCAGGGCUUGGUUAUUUCGGUACAUAAGUACCCCUAUGGUAAGGGCCACCUAUACAGCACAACAUUGAAUGGAGGAUUAUAUACAUCUAAUAUUUACAUAAGUGUCUCUUAUAAUUUAGUUUUUAUUGUUUUCUAUAUGUGGUAGCAGGACCCAGCCAAUAAACAAAUACUGCAAUUCAGAUUUAUAAAAGACAAAUGCAACUGUAAUUACAUAUUCAAAUAAAUAUGUUUUACACAAUUGUUGAUAAUCCACAACAUACAACACAUUCACUUCAAAAUGAAUGUUUGGAUCUUUGAAUUGAAAAUGAUCAAAUGAAAUUAUGUUGCGAGAGUAUAGUGAAGAAGAAUGAAAUAAGCCAAUUAAUUUACUGUAAAAUAAUGGCAUACAAUUAUCUCCCCAUAGUUAUUUGUUCAAUUUAGUUCUAGUCUACAUUUCCUGUGUAAAUUAUUGCUCUAUAAGAGUCUUGUUGUCCAAUGUUGUAAGGGUUAAAUACAAUUGAUGUAUAAUAUAAAAUACUACAUGUUAAAGGGAUGUUGUCAAAAUAAUGGUGCCAUUAAGGAUCACAGCCUAGGGUACCUGUAACCAGGCUUGGUUAAUAUGGGUAAACCUUUAUAGACUGACAAUAUACACCAUUUUAAUGGAAUGUGUUCAACCUUUGGAAUUGUUAAGAAUACAUGGUGAUUCAUAAGCUUCCUCCAUUUACUCUUAAAAAAAAUACAGAAAAUGAAAGAUGGUGGAUUAUUGUAGAUGUGUUCAAAAUGGUUCUCUGCAGAAUUAUCAUCCGAUGUUCCUCGGUUUCCAGUCAGCACACAGCAGACUGAGAUCUUUCUCAUGUCUACUGACAUUAAGAGGUAGGUAUAGGCAGGCAUAAUAGACUGUGCUCCAGGCUUAUCUCAAGGCCAGAUGACAGACAUAUGAUAUUGGAUAAUCCCUGUGCAGCCACACCACAGAUGCCUCACAUUUACACAGGUUUCACAAGAUGCUUUCAACUUCAGAGUUUUUUGCAUGUUUAAACACAGAAAAGAAAUUCACAUACAAUAGGUCUUAUCUGCAGUUGCAACUUCUAUCACAAAUGGUUUUGCAACUCAACUGUUAAAUGCCAGGGAUCGAGUGUUUCCCAGGUUUGUGUCUGACAGCGCAUUUAAUAAAUCCCAUAGGCCUAGUUGAGUGCAGCUCACAUUAAACUAUUGUGCACAGAUAAUUUAUUCACACUAGAAAAAUAUAUAUAGGGUCGUGCAGGACAAAUGUGCGGCACAAGAAACUUUGGGUAGAAAUGAAACCGGGUUAAUAAAAAUAUAUUCACAAAAAAAUGUCUUACUCAAGACCUAUCCUGUUUUACACCCAUUUUAAAGGAUUUCUUUUCAGACAGACUUCCUCUAAUCAGCCCCUGUUGUGGUUGCAUUUUGUUCAUCGGCUUGAUUGAAUGUGAUAGCCUAGAUAUUUGAUAUGCUUUGCAUUAGUCUUUAAUGUGCAGUUGCUUUAUAAUAUUGAUUUGUAUGGGAUGCUGCGAAGAGCUUUCAGCUGAUAUAUGUUUUGAAAGGUGCCUUAAAAGAAUGGUGCAGUAUUGUGUAUUCAGGGUAUAAUCAGCAGGGUGGUUAAAGGUUUUAGUUUUGUCUGCUUCUGUCAUUUGGAAUUUAUAUAUUUAUUAAUAAUGUAACUGCCAAAUGUUUUUUUACCAUGGGAAAAUGUUGGGUAAAGGAAGCUUUUCCUCCGCUCCAUGGCUAAAAUGCAACAGUUGCACCAAUGCAAUAUAACAUGGCAACUUUAUUGCACAAUAGGUCAGUGGGGGAAAAAAAUGAAACUUAAUCAAAGUGCCCCCUCUGUUGGCAGCAGACGGUAUAUUUUCAUUCUUUUUUUUAGCUGAUGUUUUCUCAGUAGUUUUAAAGCACAGUAAAAGUCCCUCACAUCCACACUCAACAACUUGAAUAUUUUUUUGAUAAUCCUUCGUAAAGGUGUAUUAUCAAAUUGUCGUAUCCUUUUGUGACCUCAGUACCGUUGCUACUGCUCCAUAUCAUUGUCAAAUUUUCAUGACAGUUCAGAACAACUCUAUCGAACUGUUCUCUAGGUCAUGCCGGUCUGCUCUUAUAGAAGAGAUUUCAUUUAACUCACAUGUCCCUUAACUAGGAAAGAAGCAGGAUGUCACAGAAAGUGAAAAUAGGUUACAGAAGGUAGAGUCCAGCAACAAACCACCAACUUAAAUAAAACAAAUAUUGCCCUGUAGUGAUGUACCUUCAGACUUCCACAAUGAUAAGGUGUAUGCAUGAAAAGUUCAACUCCACAACUAUAAGGACAGCUGUGAAAAUAGUAAAAUUAAGCAAUGGAACUAGAUAUGUAAGUACAAAUAUAUUAACUGGCUUCUCUACCACGUGAUGUGUGCUAUUGUAACAAUGCUGGUUGAAUAUGCCUUCUUUAAAACAUGCUUGCUGUAGGAACCAGUUUUACUGUUAAUCUGUGAUAUUUUAUAAAGUCUGUUACCCUUUUAAGAUAAAAACUGUAGCAAUAUAACAAAACAAUAUGUCAUUUAUAACCUUGUCAUUUUUGAUAAGGUUGGCAGCUGUUAGGUUUAUUUGUUUGACUCUUAAAAGGUAAAGCUGACCAAAUGCACUUGUGACUGGCUCCGUCCUCGAUUGGCCUCCUUUGACCUCUACUCGUUCCCAGCUGGGAUCCAGUUCACACACUCUGUAGGGAUACCUGCUGGUAUACUGUAAUCUGCAGCACUGGGAAUGCAGAAUGUGUCAGGGACUCAUUCAGAGAGCUGUGGCUCAUGUGUAACCCUUUGCAACCUGUGGUGACGUUGCAAUGAUUUGUCAUGCCCCCAAGAUGCAAAUUGUAAAUACUAUAUUACCAAAGCACUGACAAAUGCUUUAGAAAUACAGUGCUACCGAAAUUAGAAAAAGCUUACAAAACGACUCCAUUAAGUCUUGCCUAAUCUCUAUUGCACAAAUUUGUAGGUCCCACAUUGUGCUGUGUGAAACGCAUGCCCAAUAUGUUAAAGGAGAACAAGCACUGUGACACCCUGACAGGUAUGGUAAAGCAAAUGUAAAGGUUUUAUUACAGAGAUAAAGUCAUGCUUUUAGUGGGGUCAUAUUGAAAUGCACCGUGAGGUAUAACAUGUUCUAGUUUUGUCUUUGGACACCAUCAUCCCACGCUUGAAAUGCAACUGAGCUGCUUACAGAGCUGCUGUAGAAAUGUUUUGCUUUGCCAUAAGAGUUCAUGCUCCAAAGAUGUCUAAUCAGUCAGUAUAUGUUUAUAAGAGUUAGGAGGCACAGACAGUUAUCAACUUUAGAUUUUAUAGUGGGAUAUAUAAUGACGUUUCUUUUUUGUGAAGACUGUCCUCUUAUAAUUUGAAUUUCUGUAAGAAGGAAGACAGUAUUGCCCUGUGAAAGCUUUUUUGCUCAUACAACUGUGUUUGCCGUACAGGUGUGGCUGUUCUGAACAAUGUCUGUUAGCAGUUCUUAUGUACUGAUUAACCGUACCAGUCAAUGUGUGGAGUCAUUUAUAUUAGCCUUGGCCUUAUCAAACAGUAAAUGUGUUCGGAGGUGGUCUGUCAUUGGCUGUAUUAUUGGUUAGGUUUCAUUCCACCUAUUGGGGUGGUUAAAGGGUUUCCAUAGUGACUGGAUUGCUUGUUGCUAUGGUAGGAAUGACAGCAUAGCAUAUCCUAUCGAAAGACUUUGUAUCCUUGUAGUUGGCUUAACCAACUAUUGCAAAAAUACAUCAAGUGGGUAAUAACAAUGCUGUUUAUAACAGUGCACGGGAGCAGGGUUUGGGUCAAUUCUUGUUUUUCAAUUCCAAUUUCAUUUCCAGUUCCUUUUUAAAAUUAGUUUCAAUUUCCAUUCCUUUUUACUCAAUUCCAACACACCAUUGAUCAAAAUGGCAAUCAGCAGCAAUCUGUUAAAAAAAAGCUUCUUGCGUAAACUGAAGUCACUGUUGCUCAGUUAAAUUGGCUUCUAACGAAAGCCCUUGAACGAUCAACAACCAUAAUGUUGUCGCUAAUAUAUCAAUAUUCAAAGGUAUUGGAAUUGGGAAUUGAUUUUAAAAAGGGAUUGGAAAUGAAGAUCAAGGAUUGAUCCCAACCUUGGGAGUAAGGCAAAUGAAGGCACGGCCCAGGCCUCUAUCGGCUCCACACAGAACGUGUAUGGGAUCUUCACACACUCCAUCCUGGAAAUCUACAUGAGUUGAAGGGCACAUCUGACAAAACCUGGACCUGUAAGGUGUGAUAUGGACCCCCGCUGACCAAAACACAGAGCUGAGGGCCAGCCCAGUGUUAGAGCUCUCAGCCAAGCUCUGCUGGUUGCGAAACUGUCACUUCUACGACAAUAAUUGAGUUUAUUAUGUUAUGCAAGUUGGCCCUGGCAUUAAUUGUUUCCAUUUAUUUUAUUCAUUAUAUAUUAAAAGAAAAAUCAAUUACAGACAGGUUGUCUUCCAUGGUGUCCGCCUUUCACAUGCUUGGUUAAAGUUGUAGUAGUCUUCCACUUGCGGAGACAAUGACUGGAGAACGGCUG